Oncorhynchus keta (chum salmon) is the source of this 1416-nucleotide long non-coding RNA. RefSeq lists it as uncharacterized. Lineage: Eukaryota; Metazoa; Chordata; Actinopteri; Salmoniformes; Salmonidae. The record is from RefSeq and is a predicted model, not a curated record. The transcript is spliced from 5 exons.
UGCCAAUUUGUAAGUCGCUCUGGAUAAGAGCGUCUGCUAAAUGACUUAAAUGUAAUGUCUGUCCAGGAGAGAGAGAGGUCUGUUAGUAAUGUAUCACCAUGUCUGUCCAGGAGAGAGAGAGAGAGAGAGGUCUGUUAGUAAUGUAUCACCAUGUCAGUCCAGGAGAGAGAGAGGUCUGUUAGUAAUGUAUCACCAUGUCUGUCCAGGAGAGAGAGAGGUCUGUUAGUAAUGUAUCAUCAUGUCUGUCCAGGAGAGAGAGAGGUCUGUUAGUAAUGUAUCAUCAUGUCUGUCCAGGAGAGAGAGAGGUCUGUUAGUAAUGUAUCACCAUGUCUGUCCAGGAGAGAGAGAGGUCUGUUAGUAAUGUAUCAUCAUGUCUGUCCAGGAGAGAGAGAGGUCUGUUAGUAAUGUAUCAUCAUGUCUGUCCAGGAGAGAGAGAGGUCUGUUAGUAAUGUAUCACCAUGUCUGUCCAGGAGAGAGAGAGGUCUGUUAGUAAUGUAUCAUCAUGUCUGUCCAGGAGAGAGAGAGGUCUGUUAGUAAUGUAUCAUCAUGUCUGUCCAGGAGAGAGAGAGGUCUGUUAGUAAUGUAUCAUCAUGUCUGUCCAGGAGAGAGAGAGGUCUGUUAGUAAUGUAUCAUCAUGUCUGUCCAGGAGAGAGAGAGGUCUGUUAGUAAUGUAUCAUCAUGUCUGUCCAGGAGAGAGAGAGAGAGAGGUCUGUUAGUAAUGUAUCAUCAUGUCUGUCCAGGAGAGAGAGAGGUCUGUUAGUAAUGUAUCACCAUGUCUGUCCAGGAGAGAGAGAGGUCUGUUAGUAAUGUAUCAUCAUGUCUGUCCAGGAGAGAGAGAGGUCUGUUAGUAAUGUAUCAUCAUGUCUGUCCAGGAGAGAGAGAGGUCUGUUAGUAAUGUAUCACCAUGUCUGUCCAGGAGAGAGAGAGGUCUGUUAGUAAUGUAUCAUCAUGUCUGUCCAGGAGAGAGAGAGGUCUGUUAGUAAUGUAUCAUCAUGUCUGUCCAGGAGAGAGAGAGGUCUGUUAGUAAUGUAUCACCAUGUCUGUCCAGGAGGGAGAGGUCUGUUAGUUGCAAUUCUAUGGUAUUUACUAGUAGUUCCUUAGCAGUCACACCUUGGCAAUGCAACCAAGUGAUUGGGAUUCUCUUCUACUAUAUGACAGUACUAGAUCUUAGACUAGUAGUACUAGAUCUACCAGUACUAGAUCUACCAGUACUAGAUCUACCAGUACUAGAUCUACCAGUACUAGAUCUUAGACUAGUAGUACUAGAUCUACCAGUACUAGAUCUACCAGUACUAGAUCUACCAGUACUAGAUCUUAGACUAGUAGUACUAGAUCGUAGACUAGCAGUACUAUAUCUACCUGUACUAGAUCUACCAGUACUAGAUCUUAGACUAGUAGUACUAGAUCUACCAGUAU